UACGUAGGGUGCAAGCGUUGUCCGGAAUUAUUGGGCGUAAAGAGCUCGUAGGCGGUCUGUCACGUCGGCUGUGAAAACCCGAGGCUCAACCUCGGGCCUGCAGUCGAUACGGGCAGACUAGAGUUCGGUAGGGGAGACUGGAAUUCCUGGUGUAGCGGUGAAAUGCGCAGAUAUCAGGAGGAACACCGGUGGCGAAGGCGGGUCUCUGGGCCGAUACUGACGCUGAGGAGCGAAAGCGUGGGGAGCAAACAGG
Molecule: ribosomal RNA, 253 nt
Filed under: uncultured bacterium
Lineage: Bacteria
Description: partial 16S ribosomal RNA
Rfam family: Bacterial small subunit ribosomal RNA
Source: RNAcentral